RNAcentral lists this ribosomal RNA (460 nucleotides) under uncultured bacterium. RNAcentral's name for it is "partial 16S ribosomal RNA". It matches the Rfam family "Bacterial small subunit ribosomal RNA", at positions 338 to 795 of the family's 1533-position model. The record is from RNAcentral.
CCUACGGGUGGCAGCAGUGAGGAAUAUUGGUCAAUGGACGAGAGUCUGAACCAGCCAAGUAGCGUGAAGGAUGACUGCCCUAUGGGUUGUAAACUUCUUUUAUAUGGGAAUAAAAUGUUCCACGUGUGGGAUUUUGUAUGUACCAUAUGAAUAAGGAUCGGCUUACUCCGUGCCAGCAGCCGCGGUAAUACGGAGGAUCCGAGCGUUAUCCGGAUUUAUUGGGUUUAAAGGGAGCGUAGGUGGAUUGUUAAGUCAGUUGUGAAAGUUUGCGGCUCAACCGUAAAAUUGCAGUUGAAACUGGCAGUCUUGAGUACAGUAGAGGUGGGCGGAAUUCGUGGUGUAGCGGUGAAAUGCUUAGAUAUCACGAAGAACUCCGAUGGCGAAGGCAGUUCACUGGACUGCAACUGACACUGAGGCUCGAAAGUGUGGGUAUCAAACAGGAUUAGAUACCCUAGUAGUC